RNAcentral lists this ribosomal RNA (439 nucleotides) under uncultured bacterium. RNAcentral describes it as "bacterial SSU rRNA". It matches the Rfam family "Bacterial small subunit ribosomal RNA", at positions 28 to 451 of the family's 1533-position model. The record is from RNAcentral.
GAUGAACGCUGGCGGCGUGCUUAACACAUGCAAGUCGAGCGAAGCACUUAUGACGAUCCUUCGGGUGAAUCAUUUGUGACUGAGCGGCGGACGGGUGAGUAACGCGUGAGUAACCUGCCUCAUACAGGGGAAUAACAGUUAGAAAUGACUGCUAAUGCCGCAUAAGCGCACAGGGCCGCAUGGCCCGGUGUGAAAAACUCCGGUGGUAUGAGAUGGACUCGCGUCUGAUUAGCUAGUUGGCAGGGUAACGGCCUACCAAGGCGACGAUCAGUAGCCGGCCUGAGAGGGUGAACGGCCACAUUGGGACUGAGACACGGCCCAAACUCCUACGGGAGGCAGCAGUGGGGAAUAUUGCACAAUGGGGGAAACCCUGAUGCAGCGACGCCGCGUGAGUGAAGAAGUAUUUCGGUAUGUAAAGCUCUAUCAGCAGGGAAGAAAA